RNAcentral lists this ribosomal RNA (393 nucleotides) under uncultured bacterium. Its description in RNAcentral is "partial 16S ribosomal RNA". It matches the Rfam family "Bacterial small subunit ribosomal RNA", at positions 523 to 918 of the family's 1533-position model. The record is from RNAcentral.
AUACGGAGGAUCCGAGCGUUAUCCGGAUUUAUUGGGUUUAAAGGGAGCGUAGGUGGACAGUUAAGUCAGUUGUGAAAGUUUGCGGCUCAACCGUAAAAUUGCAGUUGAUACUGGCUGUCUUGAGUACAGUAGAGGUGGGCGGAAUUCGUGGGGUAGCGGUGUAAUGCUUAGAUAUCACGAAGAACUCCGAUUGCGAAGGCAGCUCACUGGACUGCAACUGACGCUGAUGCUCGAAAGUGUGGGUAUCAAACAGGAUUAGAUACCCUGGUAGUCCACACAGUAAACGAUGAAUACUCGCUGUUUGCGAUAUACAGUAAGCGGCCAAGCGAAAGCAUUAAGUAUUCCACCUGGGGAGUACGCCGGCAACGGUGAAACUUAAAUGAAUUGGCGGGG